AUACGUAGGUGGCAAGCGUUGUCCGGAAUUAUUGGGCGUAAAGCGCUCGCAGGCGGUCUUUUAAGUCUGAUGUGAAAUCUUGCGGCUUAACCGUAAGCGGUCAUUGGAAACUGGAGGACUUGAGUACAGAAGAGGAGAGUGGAAUUCCACGUGUAGCGGUGAAAUGCGUAGAGAUGUGGAGGAACACCAGUGGCGAAGGCGACUCCCUGGUCUGUAACUGACGCUGAGGAGCGAAAGCGUGGGGAGC
This 247-nucleotide ribosomal RNA is filed under the name uncultured bacterium. Its description in RNAcentral is "partial 16S ribosomal RNA". It matches the Rfam family "Bacterial small subunit ribosomal RNA", at positions 523 to 769 of the family's 1533-position model. The record is from RNAcentral.